Molecule: non-coding RNA, 361 nt
Organism: Myripristis murdjan (pinecone soldierfish)
Lineage: Eukaryota; Metazoa; Chordata; Actinopteri; Holocentriformes; Holocentridae
Source: the annotation of a RefSeq genome assembly
AUGAUGGGCUAUAGGACAGGACUGCUGCUUUUAACUCUCUGCUGGGCAGGUGUUGAUGGUCAGACUCUGACACAAUCUGAACCAGUGGUUAAAAAGCCUGCAGAGUCCCACACAUUGACCUGCACAGCCUCUGGAUUCACAUUCAGUGACUACUGGAUGGUCUGGGUCAGACAGGCUCCUGGAAAAGGACUGGAGUGGAUCGCUGGUAUCACCAGCAGUGGCAGCAGCACCUACUACUCCCAGUCAGUCCAAGGCCGGUUCACCAUCUCCAGAGACAACAACAGACAGCAGCUGUAUCUCCAGAUGAACAGUCUGAAGACUGAAGACUCUGCUGUUUAUUAUUGUGCUAGAGAGCCACAGU